This 71-nucleotide transfer RNA is filed under the name Camelus bactrianus (Bactrian camel). It matches the Rfam family "tRNA". Rfam says of the family: Transfer RNA (tRNA) molecules are approximately 80 nucleotides in length. Their secondary structure includes four short double-helical elements and three loops (D, anti-codon, and T loops). Lineage: Eukaryota; Metazoa; Chordata; Mammalia; Artiodactyla; Camelidae. RNAcentral also lists the same sequence under 2 other names. The record is from Rfam by way of RNAcentral.
GAGGGUAUGGCUCACUGGUAAGUGCGUGCUUAGCAUGCAUGAGGUCCUGGGUCCAAUCCCCAGUCCCUCCA